Molecule: ribosomal RNA, 262 nt
Filed under: uncultured archaeon
Lineage: Archaea
Description: partial 16S ribosomal RNA
Rfam family: Archaeal small subunit ribosomal RNA
Source: RNAcentral
CAGCCGUAAACUAUGCGCGUUAGGUGUAUCGGUGACCACGAGUCACCGAGGUGCCGAAGGGAAACCGUGAAACGUGCCGCCUGGGAAGUACGGUCGCAAGGCUGAAACUUAAAGGGAAUUGGCGGGGGAGCACCACAACGGGUGGAGCCUGCGGUUUAAUUGGACUCAACGCCGGGAAGCUCACCGGAUAAGACAGCGGAAUGAUUGCCGGGCUGAAGACUCUGCAUGACUAGCUGAGAGGAGGUGCAUGGCGUAGACGUCU